The submitters of this non-coding RNA (66 nucleotides) gave its source as unclassified sequences. The record is from Rfam.
AAACCAGUCCCGAAUUGUCACCGUAUGGUGUGCGUGCUGCGAACACAGCUAGGGGCUGGUUUCGAC